Molecule: long non-coding RNA, 1893 nt
Organism: Vitis riparia (riverbank grape)
Lineage: Eukaryota; Viridiplantae; Streptophyta; Magnoliopsida; Vitales; Vitaceae
Exons: 2
Source: RefSeq, a predicted model, not a curated record
UGGGUCUUUUUUUGUGGAUAUUUUGCAGAAGAGAGAUGGCUUUGAAAAGUGGGUGGGAUGCAACUGUGUUUGGUGGGGUGGAAAAGCUGUGUUAAGAAGAAAGGAGGAAGCUAGUUUUUGGAAGCUGUGAGGGUCUCGGGUUUUGCAGGAGAGAGAGAGCUGGGUGAGAGGAAAAAUGUAAUACUGAUACGGGCUGUGUCUUUCUCUGCUGCUGAUAUUUUGAGGCUUUUAGGUGUCUCUCUGCUGGGUUGGAAGGAGGCUCUCUCUUUUGGGGCAGCUGUGGAGGGUUCGGUUUUUCUUAGCGAGUAUUGAUGGAGGGUUUGGAGAUUUGUUCUUGGACAGCUGACUGUGUGGCUCUGGGGCGGAUGUAGGAAGUGCUUGGAGAUAUCUCUGGGAUUAGUGGGCUUCUUGGGCUGCAACCACUCCUCCACUUUUGAAACCCCUCCAAUUCUCUCCAUUCUGACAUUCUGCCUUUUCACUCUCGAGAACAAGAGAAGACUGAAGCUCUCUCCCCUUUUGUACUGCAUCAGGUGAUACCCUCUCUCUCACUCUUGUUCUCAUGAGUUGUUUCCCUUUAUUUUUAUCUUUACUAAAUCUAAAAAUCAAAAGGCUACUCACUUCUCUCACUCAGGCAUCAAGAAGCCCUUCUGCCACUCUCAAUCCUCGCAGUCCGUGGGGUGCUUUGUCUGGUCAAGGGCACCUAGAGUUGUUCUCUUACAUUAAAGGCCUCCCCUGCUUCCAAUCCAAUCAGUAGAUGUUUUCUUCAUCCUUGAUGAACUCAGGUUAAUACAAUGCCCUAUUCCAUUCAUAUUUCUUGGAGCAAAUACUUCACUUUUAUGUAGGUUUUUCAGACUUCAUUAGCAAAUGUGAGUCACCUAGGUACUAGGUAGUAAAAAUGAGAGUCGGGAGUUAUAGUGGAGGGAUAAAAGCGUUGCCUUUGUAUUGCCACAACACUUAUUGGUGAUCCAAAGAUGAUCAUUUUAGAUGAAUUAGUAUGUAGACUAAGACUUCUUCUUGGUGCAUGUUUCUAUAUUUUAUAUGCUUUAUAAUUUAUAUGAUUUUUAUUUUUAUUUUUAGACAAUUGGUAUGGAUCUAAUAACAAGAAGGCAUGUGUGGGGCAUAAUAGAGAAUGCAAAGAAAGGGUUGCUAUUGAGUGUGAUAUUAGGACAAUGACAUACCAUUUUUUUGCAUUGUCUAUUAUGUCCCACACAUGCCUCCUUGUUAUUGGAUCCAUACUAAUUGUCUAGAAAUAAAAAGAAACUCCAUAUGAAUUAUAAAACAAAUAAAUUAAAGAAACAUGAACCAAGGAAAGUCUCUAGUCUACAUACCAAUUAAUCUAAAAUGACAAACUUUGGAUCACCAAUAAGUGUUGUGGCAACACUAAGAUAGCGUUUCAUUCCUCCACUAUAACUCCCAACUCUCAUUUUUGCUACUUGGGUGAGUCUCACUUGUGCUAAUAAAUUCUGAGAAAUCUGCAAAGAAGUAAAAGCAUUUGACCCAAUAAAUAUGGAUAGAAUAGAGUCAUUGUAUUAACAAGAAUUCAUACCAAUGGUAGGCUUCAUUGCAUUGAAACCUCAAUUAGUUUGAAGUCUCGAUUUGGAUUUGGUUCUAUUGCCCAUGUGAGGUUCAUCGAAAGCACAAGCAGGAAUACUUGCCCCAAUGAGGAUGCAGUUACCAUGCCUUACAGGAAAGCCGUGAAGCAGUUCUUUAAAUAUGUAAGUCUAAUUAGUAGAGAUUGCUUAAACAUAUCCUUAGACUCCCAAAGUUUGGUUUCUGAUUUUUUUGAAUGUUUUUUUACAGCAUUUGGAUUAUAUGGGUCACGUCUUAUUGGUUAUGUAAUAAAGAGUGGUUGAUGUUGCACAAUUAUUAUUAAAUAGGUCAUGUUUAAAUUAA